AUUGAACGCUGGCGGCAUGCUUUACACAUGCAAGUCGAACGGUAACAGGGACUUCGGUCUGCUGACGAGUGGCGAACGGGUGAGUAACAUAUCGGAACGUGCCCAGGUAAUGGGGGAUAGCUCGGCGAAAAGCCGGAUUAAUACCGCAUACGCCCUGAGGGGGAAAUGGGGGAUCUUCGGACCUCACGUUAUUGGANCGGCCGAUAUCGGAUUAGCUAGUUGNGGGUAAAGCCUACAGCGACGAUCCGUAGCUGGUCUGAGAGGAUGAUCCGCCACACUGGAACUGAGACACGGUCCAGACU
RNAcentral lists this ribosomal RNA (302 nucleotides) under uncultured bacterium. RNAcentral's name for it is "bacterial SSU rRNA". It matches the Rfam family "Bacterial small subunit ribosomal RNA", at positions 30 to 337 of the family's 1533-position model. The record is from RNAcentral.